Long non-coding RNA from Cololabis saira (Pacific saury), 728 nucleotides. RefSeq lists it as uncharacterized. The transcript is spliced from 3 exons. The record is from RefSeq and is a predicted model, not a curated record. Lineage: Eukaryota; Metazoa; Chordata; Actinopteri; Beloniformes; Belonidae.
AACAUGUGGGCAACACUACGUACCCCCUGACUGCCAGUGGCGAUUUUGGGGGGUGGCCUGGGGUGGCCUGAAAUCUCAUUGGCCACCCUGUGGCCACCCCCAGACCUGAUUGGUAGUUCAUGAAGUUCAUUAACACAAUAACCUAGUUUUUUAUCUUCUCCUCCUUCCCAAACAAGAGGACACGCCUUUCAAUCAAUAAUGACAGCUCAGGUGAUUCGUUGGUUUAGAGCUAACAGACCCAGGGCCAGUUUUACAUUUCUAAGUAUUAUAGUAAUGGUCGGACUGAGACUGUAAGCUGAUCUGGGGUCAGCAGCGUCGGUACUGAUGCGAGGCCGAGGUGGACGGACAGAAGGUGCUAGUCGACCAGACGGUGACAACCAGCCGACGUGAAUUGAUCAUCAAAAAACGGAGAGGUUCCUCACCUAGUGAGGAAAAUGGUUCUGAUGUUGAUGAUGAAGAGGCUCUUCAGACACAGACUGCCCCACCUGGACCUCACGAUCUCUCACAGUCCAGAGCAGCAGGUCCAACACGGAUCCAGAACCUAUGUGAAGAGAUUUGCUGGGACCUGGCAAGGUAACAGGAACAGGUGCUUCCAGAGAGACUGGUACAAACAGUAUCCAUGGCUUGAAUAUUCUCAAAGCCAAGACGCAUCAUACUGCUAUGCAUGUCGUCAUUUCUCUCUGCCAAAUACCCCAAACAUCUGUGUUCACAGAUGCUCAGUUUAUAGA